This 468-nucleotide ribosomal RNA is filed under the name uncultured bacterium. RNAcentral's name for it is "partial 16S ribosomal RNA". It matches the Rfam family "Bacterial small subunit ribosomal RNA", at positions 28 to 507 of the family's 1533-position model. The record is from RNAcentral.
GACGAACGCUGGCGGCGUGCUUAACACAUGCAAGUCGAACGGUGAGGCCCUUCUCUUUUUGGGGGCUCGAGUGGCGAACGGAUGAGGAACGCGAGAGUAGCCUGCCCUGGACUUUUGUAUAACUUCAGGAAACGGGGGCGUAGACCGGAUGGGAGCUCCUGCGGCAUUGGGGUGGUUGGAAAGGUUCGGCUGUUGUGGAUGUAGGCGCGGCUUUUCAGCUUGUUGGGGGGGUAGUGGCUUACCUAGGCUUUGACGGGUAGCCGGCCUGAGAGGGUGACCGGCACCAUUGGGACUGAGAUACGGCCCAGAAUCGUACGGGAGGCAGCAGUGGGGAAUAUUGUAAAAUGGGCGGACGCCUGAUGCAGCAACGCCGCGUGCGGGAUGAAGGCCUUCGGGUUGUAAACCGCUUUCGCCUGUGACGAGGGGUGGGUGACGGUAAUGGGUAAAGAAGCACCGGCUAACUACGUG